UCCCUGGUGGUCUAGUGGUUAGGAUUCAGUGCUUUCAACACUGUGGCCUGAGUUCAAUCUUUGAUCUGGGAA
Molecule: transfer RNA, 72 nt
Filed under: Sus scrofa (pig)
Lineage: Eukaryota; Metazoa; Chordata; Mammalia; Artiodactyla; Suidae
Rfam family: tRNA
About the family: Transfer RNA (tRNA) molecules are approximately 80 nucleotides in length.
Source: Rfam by way of RNAcentral